CUGUCUUAGUUUUAGCUUGAAUAUUAUACAGCUAGCUUAGUUUCAGCAUUUAAUUAAACAAUACAACACAAAAGAAACAUGCAUGGAAAUCUUAUACACCAUUUCCAUUGGAUUUUGCAUGGCCAUAUAUGGAACACCCAAAAGCAACAAAAUCUACUCGAUAAAUUUUGAUAACAAUAGUGAAUUACUACAAUAUAUGUAUGAAAAUUUAAUUACCUCAUAUAUACAGCAUUUAUGUUACGUUGUCGACUAGGUCCUCUGCAGAAAAAAGCUCAAAAUAUUCUAUUCUUGAUUUUACCACUCGACUUUACAUGCUCUAUCCUGCAAUUGAAUGUUUAUUCUGUUCUGUUUGGUCGCUUUGAUGAUUCCAGGAAGUAAAUGGGUAAUUCCAGGAAGUAUUUGGGUAAUUCCAGGAAGUAAUUGGGUAAUUCCAGGAAGUUGUAGAGGAUUUCUUGGAAGACUAAGAAAACCGUGAACUGCAUGCUUGCUCGAAAUUUGAGGCGACGUUACAGUAAAAUCAUCUUUUGGUAUGCUACUCAUUCUAAUCCAAAAAAUGUAAUCAAGUCCCAAAAAUGUAGUGGGGCGGAUAAGUGAAAGUUUGUGAAUUUUGUGGAGAAAGAACUAUACCGAUAGGAUGUGUAGACUUUGACACAAGUAUGAAUAUCAGAUAUGGAGGCAUCUAUGAAAUUAAUGCUAUAAUAGCCAAAAAAUUUGGAAUUUCUGACAUUUUAUUAUAAAUUUCCAUUACUGCUCGAAAUCUUAAAAUUAAUAUUCUAAAGAACUUCACAAAAAAAUAGAGUUCUAUGGCUAAAAGGUAGACAAAAAAUGUUUAUAGAACAUUAAAGCAGUUUUAUAUAUUCGAAAUGUUUCCUGAACUGCAACCUGUUAAAAAAGGCGAUUUGAAGCUAGUGCCAGUCUUUGCACCUAUUUUAAAAUCUAUUUUGUGCGAUUUCGAAACUGAUUAACUUGUAGACAACUUGGCAGAUAAAAACUGCUUUAAUUUUCUAUAUUCACGUACGGUUUUUUCUGCACGUUUCAACUAUACAACUUAUUAGCUGAAUUCAUAUUAGAGGACGGAUUUCCGUCUGACUCUGAGACGGGAAACUCGUCCAGAUAUAAAUUCGGUUAACGAUGGGUCUUCCGUCUCAACUUUUGAACGUCUGAGCGACGGGAAAGUUAGACGAGUUUCUCGUCUUGGACGGGCAACUCGUUUUAAACUUCAUCAGACGAACAAACUGAAGACGGGUUUCUGCUCGUAACGUUGACUGGGAUCAGUGCAUUUUUAAAGGAUUUUUCAAUGGUAGGGCAAAACUGCCAAAGGGCCCAUUUCCUCCUUGCCUCCCCNNNNNNNNNNNNNNNNNNNNCCCCCCCCCCCCCCCCAGGAUAGUAUGCAAUCGCCGUAGGUGUCAGCCGAGUACCGUAGGCCCACCCCCAGGAAAUUUUUAAAAUUUGGGUCUCUGAAAUAGAAUUUCCCGCAUUCUGAGAACACAUUUUUUAAAAAAUCUCAGCUUCUCAAAACAAAGUUUUAAUAUAUGGUGAAAUUUGUAAUAAAUUCCAUGCUAAACAUUCAAACACAACAUAAAUUUAAGAAUAAUCACCAACAAAUUUUGUUUUUUAAACUUCAUUUCAAUGUUAAACUCAUUUACUCAAUACAGCUCUUAGGGCCCUGGCUUUGGGGCAAUAGGCCAUUUUUUUUCUUCAGUGGUGGCGCAGAGGAAGGGGCUCAGUGGGGCAAAUGCCCCACCAGUCCAUGGCAAUAAAAAAAGCCUUGACUGGGAUGGAGGGUCUUCUAUUUUUUCGUGUUUAUCCGUCCGAUGGUUUUCGUUUCAUAUUCAUAUCAGACAAAAAUCCGUCACACGAGUUUCCCGUUUUAGACGGAAAUCCGGCUUCUAACAUGAAUUCAGCUAUUUUUUGUGAGCUACCUUGGAAUUUUAAAAUUUCUAUCAGUAAUAGAAAUUUGUUAUAUUAAAAUGUCAGAAAUUCAAAAUUUUUAGCUAUCAGUGUUAAUUGCAGAGAUGCCUCCAUAUCUGAUAUGAAUUCAUACUUGUGUCAAAAUUACACAUACUGUCAAUAUGGUCCUUUCUUCACUAACUGCACGAUUAUUGCAAAACCGUGCGCUUAUCCGCCCCACUAAUGUGUUUACCCGUCAAAAGCUGUGAUUCAGUGCCAAAAAUUAAUUCGAUGCAAAGUUUGAAAAUUUUUACAAAAGAUGUUUUACUAAGAGAAAAUAAUAAUAGCAAAAAAAUUCUUCUUACGUUUUGUAAUAAUGCUGCAUGUUUACACGAGACAUUUUCAUAAAGGAUCAUGCGUCGUUUUUAUAGAUCUGGAAUAUUAUAAAGAUAUAGUCAUAGAGGAUAUUAGACGGUUGCGAAGAGAUAUGAAUUUUAUGUUCGGGUGGCAAAAACAAUAUCUCACGAGUGAGCGCAGCGAACGAGCGAGAUAUUGUUUUUGACACGAGAACAUAAAUCCAUAUCUUCUCGCAACCGUUUAAUGUUCUGUUUAUUAUAUGGACUUAUUAAUCAGAGUGACAAAAAUACACACAAAGACGACAUGUAAAUAAGGACGCGAAAGACCAGAGUAGUGAUACCCCCCCAUAGAGUACAAAGGGAUGCCGCCAAUGACGUCACAUUGCUCCGAAAGUAAUUAGUAUGCAAACUUAGGUGUCGGAAGUAAUUAGCAGGCGGAAUCUAUGACGCAGCUUUGCUGGCCCU
This 2711-nucleotide long non-coding RNA is filed under the name Paramuricea clavata. The record is from RNAcentral. Lineage: Eukaryota; Metazoa; Cnidaria; Anthozoa; Malacalcyonacea; Plexauridae.